This 352-nucleotide ribosomal RNA is filed under the name Sporobolomyces pararoseus. RNAcentral's name for it is "Sporidiobolus pararoseus partial 26S ribosomal RNA". The record is from RNAcentral. Lineage: Eukaryota; Fungi; Basidiomycota; Microbotryomycetes; Sporidiobolales; Sporidiobolaceae.
AAAGAGCUAUAACACAGCCGAAACUGCUACCUUCUCUCUAUGCUUUUCCGCCCCGAAAAACUGAUGCGGGCCUGCCAAUCGAGUUGCCCCGAAUAGCAAGUAUCACUGCAUGUGUUUCCCUUCCAACAAUUUCACGUACUGUUAACUCUCUUUCCAAAGUGCUUUUCAUCUUUCCCUCACGGUACUUGUUCGCUAUCGGUCUCUCGCCAAUAUUUAGCUUUAGAUGGAAUUUACCACCCAAUUUGAGCUGCAUUCCCAAACAACUCGACUCUUCGAAAGUGUAUCACAAAGUAAUAGGCAUCCGCAUCGUGUACUGGGUUCUCACCACUAUGACGCUCUGUUCCAAGAGACU